UACGGAGGGUGCAAACGUUGCUCGGAAUUAUUGGGCGUAAAGCGUGUGUAGGCGGCUGAGUAAGUCGGGCGUGAAAGCCCUCGGCUUAACCGAGGAAGUGCGUUCGAUACUGCUCAGCUAGAGUACAGGAGAGGAUAGUGGAAUUCCCGGUGUAGAGGUGAAAUUCGUAGAUAUCGGGAGGAACACCAGUGGCGAAGGCGGCUAUCUGGACUGAUACUGACGCGGAGACACGAAAGCGUGGGGAGCAAACAGG
RNAcentral lists this ribosomal RNA (253 nucleotides) under uncultured bacterium. Its description in RNAcentral is "partial 16S ribosomal RNA". It matches the Rfam family "Bacterial small subunit ribosomal RNA", at positions 524 to 776 of the family's 1533-position model. The record is from RNAcentral.